This 402-nucleotide ribosomal RNA is filed under the name uncultured bacterium. RNAcentral's name for it is "bacterial SSU rRNA". It matches the Rfam family "Bacterial small subunit ribosomal RNA", at positions 355 to 774 of the family's 1533-position model. The record is from RNAcentral.
UCGGGAAUUUUGGGCAAUGGGCGAAAGCCUGACCCAGCAACGCCGCGUGAGGGAUGAAGUAUUUCGGUAUGUAAACCUCGAAAGAAUGGGAAGAAUAAAUGACGGUACCAUUUAUAAGCUCCGGCUAACUACGUGCCAGCAGCCGCGGUAAUACGUAGGGAGCAAGCGUUGUUCGGAUUUACUGGGCGUAAAGGGCGCGUAGGCGGCGCGGUAAGUCACUUGUGAAAUCUCUGAGCUUAACUCAGAACGGCCAAGUGAUACUGCUGGGCUAGAGUGCGGAAGAGGCAACCGGAAUUCUUGGUGUAGCGGUGAAAUGCGUAGAUAUCAAGAGGAACACCUGAGGCGAAGGCGGGUUGCUGGGCCGACACUGACGCUGAUGCGCGAAAGCCAGGGGAGCAAACG